GAGCGGGCACUUUCGGGUGUCAGCGGCAGACGGGUGAGUAACACGUGGGAACGUACCCUGUGGUUCGGAAUAACGCUGGGAAACUAGCGCUAAUACCGGAUACGCCCUUUUGGGGAAAGGCUUGCUGCCGAAGGAUCGGCCCGCGUCUGAUUAGCUAGUUGGUGGGGUAAUGGCCUACCAAGGCGACGAUCAGUAGCUGGUCUGAGAGGAUGAUCAGCCACACUGGGACUGAGACACGGCCCAGACUCCUACGGGAGGCAGCAGUGGGGAAUAUUGGACAAUGGGCGGAAGCCUGAUCCAGCCAUGCCGCGUGAGUGAUGAAGGCCUUAGGGUUGUAAAGCUCUUUUGUCCGGGACGAUAAUGACGGUACCGGAAGAAUAAGGCCCCGGCUAACUUCGUG
RNAcentral lists this ribosomal RNA (400 nucleotides) under uncultured bacterium. Its description in RNAcentral is "bacterial SSU rRNA". It matches the Rfam family "Bacterial small subunit ribosomal RNA", at positions 64 to 507 of the family's 1533-position model. The record is from RNAcentral.